This 616-nucleotide unclassified non-coding RNA is filed under the name Homarus americanus (American lobster). RNAcentral's name for it is "tigger transposable element-derived protein 1-like, transcript variant X2". The record is from RNAcentral. Lineage: Eukaryota; Metazoa; Arthropoda; Malacostraca; Decapoda; Nephropidae.
GGGAGUGGUGUCUGUACAGUCAGUUUCUCCCUCCAUGGGUCUAUCCCCCCCCUCCCCUCAUAUCACCACACUUUUCUUCUAAGCACAUGCCAGAUGAACAUUAAUUAAUUUACAAGCUCACAUAUACUACAAUGCAGGGUUUUAAAUGGGAUGUCAUAUAUUAUGAGUGCAAUGGGUAAUUAAAUAUGAGCUAAAAUAUAUGUUAUCACAAUGAGUACAUACUAUAAAUAAUAACAAUUACAUAUCUGACAGCUCAAGUGGCAGCACCCAUGACUCAGGUGUGAGGCCCACACCUCUUGACUUCUGAUGGGUGAUGAAAUACCUCACCGAAUGCAACACACUGGGAACUAUGCGGUCCCAAGCAUAGUGGGUCACACGGAAUGAUGCAGUAACUUAGGAAAAACCCAAUACGUAGUCUGAGAAGGAGAAGUCAGCCGAGAUCAACGCACAUGACAGUAGUUUGUAAACAAUAGACGGAAGGACCUACGAACAUCUUGUGGAAAUUACCAGAGACCAACAUAGAAAAGUUAUUAUCCCUUUAGAUAUCAGUAGAUAAAUACGACAAAGAGUAAAUACUAAAGAACUGUAGUGACUCUGGGUUGUCCAGCCAAUCAGC